Molecule: unclassified non-coding RNA, 1598 nt
Filed under: Hevea brasiliensis (rubber tree)
Lineage: Eukaryota; Viridiplantae; Streptophyta; Magnoliopsida; Malpighiales; Euphorbiaceae
Source: RNAcentral
UUUUCAGGUUCUUCUAAACCUGGGUUUUGUUCAUAUUAAAGUGAAAAGAGAAGUGGGAAAAAAGCAAAAAAGUAAUAAACUUUACUCAGAUUUUAGCUCUCUGAGAGACAGUUAUUGAAAGGGAGCUAAGGAGAAGUUGAGUGCUGCUUGUCAAAGAUUUGAACUUUUUUGAAUUUUUGAACUGUAAGCUAGAUAAAAGUGCAAUCUUUUGGAAUUGUUUGGUUUCUGGGAUCUUUCUGAACAAGAACAUCAGGACCUUCAAGACUGAAAAGGGAAAGUUUUCGCGACUUUGGAUUGAUAGAGUUUCGCCUGAGGGAAGCUGUUAGUAGGUAGAAAAGAUGGAUAGGGUGUCGAGGAUUCUUUUUAGUGUUCUGACAGAACCGCAACGAGGAGGACAGUCUUUCAUCACGUCGAUUAAGAUUGCUGUUUUACCGAUUGCGAAAGUGUUUACACUAUGCUUCUUGGGAUUUUUGAUGGCCUCCAAGUAUGUCAAUAUUCUUCCAGCAAAUGGACGGAAGCUUUUAAAUGGGUUGGUGUUUUCACUUUUGCUGCCAUGCUUGAUAUUCUCUCAACUUGGACAAGCCAUUACGUAUGAGAAAUUGCUUCAGUGGUGGUUCAUCCCUGUUAACAUUGUUUUGGCCACCAUAUUUGGUUCUAUUAUUGGUUUAAUUGUUGCUACGAUAGUCCGUCCGCCAUACCCUUAUUUCAAGUUUACCAUUAUACAGAUUGGCAUUGGGAACAUAGGAAAUGUUCCACUUGUUCUGAUAGCUGCGUUAUGUCGUGACCCAUCAAAUCCUUUUGGUGACUCUGAGAUAUGUGCGCGAGAUGGAAAUGCAUACAUCUCUUUUGGACAGUGGGUUGGUGCAAUUAUCCUCUACACCUUUGUAUUCCAAAUGCUCUCACCUCCUCCUGAAGGUUCCUUCGAUGUUGAAGAUGCAAACCUUCCUAUCAAGGUUCCUAACAAAGAAAGAUUACCGAGUCAUCCAUCAGGUAGUUCUGCAGAGCAAGUUCCAUUACUUGCAACAAAUGUUGCACCAGCCGACUCUAGUAGUUCAAAUAAAGAAAAGGUUAAACAGUUCUUUAAAUUUCUCUAUGAGACACUGAAGCUCAAGCAACUUAUUCAACCUCCCAUUAUAGCUUCUAUCAUAGCGAUUAUCAUAGGAUGUGUGCCGGUCCUGAAACGCCUCAUCUUUACUUCUGAUGCUCCACUUUACUUCUUCACUGACAGCUGUUUAAUUCUUGGGGAUGCCAUGAUUCCCUGCAUAUUGUUGGCCUUAGGAGGCAAUCUCGUUGACGGUAAGUAACAAUUCUUUGUCUUCCUUUGAACUUUAUUUUUCGUCAUUUUUUUGUGGUAAAUCUUGUUAUUCACUGAGUAUGUUUAAUUCGUAGGUGCUCCCAUUUACUGCCUUGAUAUUUGAAUCUCUGCAGGGCCAGGACCUGGAAGUUCAAAAAUUGGUCUUAAGACAACUGUUGCGAUUGUGUUUGCACGGUUGUGUUUGGUUCCUCCAACUGGACUCAGUAUUGUCAUGUUAGCUGAUAAGCUUGGCUUCCUUCCUCCUGGUGAUAAGAUGUUCCGGUUUGUCCUACUUCUUCAACAU